Molecule: ribosomal RNA, 85 nt
Filed under: uncultured bacterium
Lineage: Bacteria
Description: partial 16S ribosomal RNA
Source: RNAcentral
UGAUGACGGCCUUAGGGUUGUAAAGCUCUUUCGCUAGGGACGAUAAUGACGGUACCUAGACAAGAAGCCCCGGCUAACUUCGUGC